RNAcentral lists this ribosomal RNA (715 nucleotides) under uncultured Anaplasma sp. RNAcentral's name for it is "bacterial SSU rRNA". It matches the Rfam family "Bacterial small subunit ribosomal RNA", at positions 125 to 875 of the family's 1533-position model. Lineage: Bacteria; Pseudomonadati; Pseudomonadota; Alphaproteobacteria; Rickettsiales; Anaplasmataceae. The record is from RNAcentral.
UCGGGGGAGAGAUGAUGGGAUAGCCACUGGAAAUGGGGGGGUAAACUGUAAAAUCGUUGAGGGGGAGAGAAAUAUCGCUAUUAGAUGAGCCUAUGUUAGAUUAGCUAGUUGGUAGGGUAAAGGCCUACCAAGGCAGUGAUCUAUAGCUGGUCUGAGAGGAUGAUCAGCCACACUGGAACUGAGAUACGGUCCAGACUCCUACGGGAGGCAGCAGUGGGGAAUAUUGGACAAUGGGCGCAAGCCUGAUCCAGCUAUGCCGCGUGAGUGAGGAAGGCCUUAGGGUUGUAAAACUCUUUCAGUGGGGAAGAUAAUGACGGUACCCACAGAAGAAGUCCCGGCAAACUCCGUGCCAGCAGCCGCGGUAAUACGGAGGGGGCAAGCGUUGUUCGGAAUUAUUGGGCGUAAAGGGCAUGUAGGCGGUUCGGUAAGUUAAAGGUGAAAUGCCAGGGCUUAACCCUGGAGCUGCUUUUAAUACUGCCAGACUCGAGUCCGGGAGAGGAUAGCGGAAUUCCUAGUGUAGAGGUGAAAUUCGUAGAUAUUAGGAGGAACACCAGUGGCGAAGGCGGCUAUCUGGUCCGGUACUGACGCUUAGGUGCGAAAGCGUGGGGAGCAAACAGGAUUAGAUACCCUGGUAGUCCACGCUGUAAACGAUGAGUGCUGAAUGUGGGGACGUUUUGUCUCUGUGUUGUAGCUAACGCGUUAAGCACUCCGCCUG